Molecule: non-coding RNA, 22 nt
Filed under: Arabidopsis thaliana (thale cress)
Lineage: Eukaryota; Viridiplantae; Streptophyta; Magnoliopsida; Brassicales; Brassicaceae
Source: RNAcentral
UACGUCUACAGCUUCCCACCCC